CCCGGGGGCGGACGCGGCCUAGUGGCGGACGGGUGAGUAACGCGUGGGCAAUCUGCCCCGUACCGGGGGAUAACACCUGGAAACAGGUGCUAACACCGCAUGACAGGCGGGGGCGCAUGCCCCGGCCUUGAAAACUCCGGUGGUACGGGAUGAGCCCGCGUCCGAUUAGCCAGUUGGCGGGGUAACGGCCCACCAAAGCGACGAUCGGUAGCCGGCCUGAGAGGGUGGACGGCCACAUUGGGACUGAGACACGGCCCAAACUCCUACGGAAGGCAGCAG
RNAcentral lists this ribosomal RNA (279 nucleotides) under uncultured bacterium. RNAcentral's name for it is "partial 16S ribosomal RNA". It matches the Rfam family "Bacterial small subunit ribosomal RNA", at positions 75 to 354 of the family's 1533-position model. The record is from RNAcentral.